This 393-nucleotide ribosomal RNA is filed under the name uncultured bacterium. Its description in RNAcentral is "partial 16S ribosomal RNA". It matches the Rfam family "Bacterial small subunit ribosomal RNA", at positions 523 to 918 of the family's 1533-position model. The record is from RNAcentral.
AUACGGAAGGUCCGGGCGUUAUCCGGAUUUAUUGGGUUUAAAGGGAGCGCAGGCGGAGAUGCAAGCGUGACGUCAAAUUUCGGGGCUCAACCCCGUCUCGCGUCGCGAACUGCGUCCCUUGGUUGCGGGAAGGGGAGGCGGAACUCGUGGUGUAGCGGUGAAAUGCAUAGAUAUCACGAAGAACUCCGAACGCGAAGGCAGCCUUCCGGCCCGUCAACGACGCUCAUGCUCGAAGGUGCGGGUAUCAAACAGGAUUAGAUACCCUGGUAGUCCGCACAGUAAACGAUGGACACCCGCGGUUUGGCCUGUAUGGCUGAGCCGCCAAGCGAAAGCGUUAAGUGUCCCACCUGGGGAGUACGCCGGCAACGGUGAAACUCAAAGGAAUUGGCGGGG